RNAcentral lists this ribosomal RNA (497 nucleotides) under uncultured bacterium. Its description in RNAcentral is "partial 16S ribosomal RNA". It matches the Rfam family "Bacterial small subunit ribosomal RNA", at positions 28 to 507 of the family's 1533-position model. The record is from RNAcentral.
GAUGAACGCUGGCGGCGUGCCUAAUACAUGCAAGUCGAGCGAACAGAUGAGGAGCUUGCUCCUCUGACGUUAGCGGCGGACGGGUGAGUAACACGUGGAUAACCUACCUAUAAGACUGGGAUAACUUCGGGAAACCGGAGCUAAUACCGGAUAAUAUAUUGAACCGCAUGGUUCAAUAGUGAAAGACGGUUUUGCUGUCACUUAUAGAUGGAUCCGCGCCGCAUUAGCUAGUUGGUAAGGUAACGGCUUACCAAGGCAACGAUGCGUAGCCGACCUGAGAGGGUGAUCGGCCACACUGGAACUGAGACACGGUCCAGAGUCCUACGGGAGGCAGCAGUAGGGAAUCUUCCGCAAUGGGCGAAAGCUUGACGGAGCAACGCCGCGUGAGUGAUGAAGGUCUUCGGAUCGUAAAACUCUGUUAUUAGGGAAGAACAAAUGUGUAAGUAACUAUGCACGUCUUGACGGUACCUAAUCAGAAAGCCACGGCUAACUACGUG